This 960-nucleotide long non-coding RNA is filed under the name Malus domestica (apple). RNAcentral's name for it is "long non-coding RNA (MDOM_LNC005663)". Lineage: Eukaryota; Viridiplantae; Streptophyta; Magnoliopsida; Rosales; Rosaceae. The record is from RNAcentral.
CUAAGACUCAACUUGCGUUCUGAUUUAACCGACUUAGGCUUGGAAGCCCAUGAGCUGAACGCUCCAUGACCCUUUCGUCGCACGGCUUCUCGGGCCGAGAGUGAUUCUACCCUCAGCCCAAACUAUUAUUUUGAGCCCAAACAAGACCACAAAAAAAAAAAAACAAAAAAAAAGAAAUAGCGGACAAGGAUUCACUAUUAUGAUUGGGAUUACAAGCUACACUUACCCAUUGCAUGAUAUCAUUUGAUUGCUCAUUGGAAUCAAAAAGAUGGAUUAAAAGUUAAGACAAAUUGUGAGAAGUGUCAUAAUUUUUUCCAUUUACUAACAAAAUGCAAAUCUAAAACUGCUUCAUCAACCAACGCGAGUCACAUCAUAUUCGGUGCCACAAACUGCUCUAUUUUGCAGCAACAAGCAUAAUUAUGAAACCUUUUCUUUUCUCGUACAACAAAUGGUUUGCAAUGCACAUGUACAAAACUAAAAUUAGAAUAGCAAUAGCAACUAGUAUUACGAUUUGUUAGCAUCUCUCCCUCUACUUAACUUGAAUUUUCUACUUCUUUAAAUUGAAUAUCUACGAAAAUUCAAUACACAUGGAGGGAGAGAUUUUCGUGUACUUAAACUACGAGUUGGGACUAUCAUAAUACAAAUAAAAAAAAAACACUGAAAAAAUAUAUUUUCAUUCUACUUAUAUUAUAACACGUAAAAAGUGUAUAACAACCACUUCUCCAGCUAUUAAAAACAAUUAAAAAAAAAGAACAAAAAAAAACACCAAAGCAGCAGGCGCGUGGAUGUAGCGACCGUAGAAAGCACCGACCGGCAUGCUAAUUGCCAAAGCUCUUUGUAAUGUAACAGUUGGUGCUGAUUAGCCAGGUAAAAGGAAGACAUUCGCAAAUAUUAAUUAUCCGGAUAAUACUUUAAAUUAAAUUUACAAACUAAAUGAUAAUCAUUAAUAAAAAAUAAAUA